UAGGGAAUCUUCCGCAAUGGGCGAAAGCCUGACGGAGCAACGCCGCGUGAGUGAUGAAGGUCUUCGGAUCGUAAAACUCUGUUAUUAGGGAAGAACAAAUGUGUAAGUAACUAUGCACGUCUUGACGGUACCUAAUCAGAAAGCCACGGCUAACUACGUGCCAGCAGCCGCGGUAAUACGUAGGUGGCAAGCGUUAUCCGGAAUUAUUGGGCGUAAAGCGCGCGUAGGCGGUUUUUUAAGUCUGAUGUGAAAGCCCACGGCUCAACCGUGGAGGGUCAUUGGGAACUGGAAAAAUUGAGUGCAGAAGAGGAAAGUGGAAUUCCAUGUGUGGGAGUGAAAUGCGCAGAGAUAUGGAGGAACACCAGUGGCGAAGGCGAGUUUCUGGUCUGUAACUGACGCUGAUGUGCGAAAGCGUGGGGAUCAAACAGG
RNAcentral lists this ribosomal RNA (429 nucleotides) under Actinomycetes bacterium. RNAcentral describes it as "Actinobacteria bacterium partial 16S ribosomal RNA". It matches the Rfam family "Bacterial small subunit ribosomal RNA", at positions 355 to 776 of the family's 1533-position model. Lineage: Bacteria; Bacillati; Actinomycetota; Actinomycetes. The record is from RNAcentral.